Molecule: ribosomal RNA, 619 nt
Filed under: uncultured bacterium
Lineage: Bacteria
Description: bacterial SSU rRNA
Rfam family: Bacterial small subunit ribosomal RNA
Source: RNAcentral
GGCAGACGGGUGAGUAACACGUGGGAACGUACCCUUUGGUUCGGGACAACUCUGGGAAACUGGAGCUAAUACCGGAUACGCCCUUUUGGGGAAAGGUUUACUGCCGAAGGAUCGGCCCGCGUCUGAUUAGCUAGUUGGUGGGGUAGCGGCCUACCAAGGCGACGAUCAGUAGCUGGUCUGAGAGGAUGAUCAGCCACACUGGGACUGAGACACGGCCCAGACUCCUACGGGAGGCAGCAGUGGGGAAUAUUGGACAAUGGGCGCAAGCCUGAUCCAGCCAUGCCGCGUGAGUGAUGAAGGCCUUAGGGUUGUAAAGCUCUUUUAUCCGGGACGAUAAUGACGGUACCGGAGGAAUAAGCCCCGGCUAACUUCGUGCCAGCAGCCGCGGUAAUACGAAGGGGGCUAGCGUUGCUCGGAAUCACUGGGCGUAAAGGGCGCGUAGGCGGCGUUUUAAGUCGGGGGUGAAAGCCUGUGGCUCAACCACAGAAUGGCCUUCGAUACUGGGACGCUUGAGUCUGGUAGAGGUUGGUGGAACUGCGAGUGUAGAGGUGAAAUUCGUAGAUAUUCGCAAGAACACCGGUGGCGAAGGCGGCCAACUGGACCGGCACUGACGCUGAGC